CCUGCCCUAGAGGUGUUUUUGGAGUUAGCUGCUGUGUCACAUGUACAGCUGUAGGUGGCAGAGAGGAGGUAGGCUACGUGUAUGCUCAGUGCUCUCACCCUAUGAUUAGUGGUUUAACAUU
This 121-nucleotide small nucleolar RNA is filed under the name Rattus norvegicus (Norway rat). RNAcentral's name for it is "Small nucleolar RNA SNORA17". It matches the Rfam family "Small nucleolar RNA SNORA17". Rfam says of the family: snoRNA ACA 17 belongs to the H/ACA family of snoRNAs and is predicted to guide pseudouridylation of the 28S rRNA at positions U4659 and U4598. It shares the same host gene together with ACA43. Lineage: Eukaryota; Metazoa; Chordata; Mammalia; Rodentia; Muridae. The record is from Rfam by way of RNAcentral.